RNAcentral lists this ribosomal RNA (239 nucleotides) under Salmonella enterica. Its description in RNAcentral is "partial 16S ribosomal RNA". It matches the Rfam family "Bacterial small subunit ribosomal RNA", at positions 1 to 236 of the family's 1533-position model. RNAcentral also lists the same sequence under 1 other name. Lineage: Bacteria; Pseudomonadati; Pseudomonadota; Gammaproteobacteria; Enterobacterales; Enterobacteriaceae. The record is from RNAcentral.
AAAUUGAAGAGUUUGAUCAUGGCUCAGGUUGAACGCUGGCGGCAGGCCUAACACAUGCAAGUCGAACGGUAACAGGAAGCAGCUUGCUGCUUCGCUGACGAGUGGCGGACGGGUGAGUAAUGUCUGGGAAACUGCCUGAUGGAGGGGGAUAACUACUGGAAACGGUGGCUAAUACCGCAUAACGUCGCAAGACCAAAGAGGGGGACCUUCGGGCCUCUUGCCAUCAGAUGUGCCCAGAU